Long non-coding RNA from Oncorhynchus mykiss (rainbow trout), 762 nucleotides. The record is from Ensembl. Lineage: Eukaryota; Metazoa; Chordata; Actinopteri; Salmoniformes; Salmonidae.
AUGAUAGAUGUGAUCAGAAGGAAGCGACUGAGUCAGAUAGACUUAUGCAGCACCAGCCACACAGUCACUACAGAGGCCCACGAGGAACAAGUGGACAAGAAGAGGAACAUCAAGGACCUCAACUCAUCCAGUGACAGAGCCGCGAGAGUGUGCACAUACUCAGGCAGCAGCAGUGACACCGAGACAGAGUCUGAAGGGAACACGCUAGGCUCCACCCAAAGCACUCUUACCAACAGAGCAAAGACGAGCAACCAAGUUGACUAUGAAGAGAAGACAAUGAAGAGGAGCAGUGUGGGAAAGUUCCCGUCAAUCAUGGACUACUAUCAACAUGACAUGUUCUCUCACAUAGAGAAGGAUGACCACAGGAGGAGUUUCUCCCAAUACAACUUGUUGCACAACCAGUCAUCGCUAGAGGGAAAAGCAGGAGACAGACUAAGCAAAGGGAAUCAAGUGGACAUGACAACAGGCGGCUGCGGAGGGGGGGUCCAGGUCGGCUCCAGAGCCGUGUCCUUGGAGUCCCUGAACAAGCUGAACAGCAGUGGGCUGGGGCUGUACCCGGAGACAGAGCUAAGGCCCAGUAGCGGUGACUGCUCCUGUUCCGCAGGGGAGAGAGAAGAGGACUGCUGCAGCAGGGUUGACAACGAGCCCUCGUCGUCCAGCUACUACUCCAACAAGCCCGGGGCGGAGCGUGUGGGUUCUCUCAGCGAUUCGCUCUACGACAGCUUCUCCUCAUGCACCAGUCAAGGCUCCAACGAUGUGUAG